CAGUGCCACGGUAAUACAGAGGAUGCAAACGUUAUCCGGAAUGAUUGGGCGUAAAGCGUCUGUAGGUGGCUUUUCGAGUCCGCCGUCAAAUGCCAGGGCUCAACCCUGGAUAGGCGGUGGAAACUACCAAGCUGGAGUACGGUAGAGGGGGGUGGAAUUCCUGGUGUAGCAGUGAAAUGCGUAGAGAUCAGGAGGAACACCGAUGGCGAAGGCAGCCCCCUGGGCCUGUACUGACGCUCAUGCACGAAAGCGUGGGGAGCAAACAGGAUUAGAUACCCCUGUAGUCCCUGUCUCUUAUACC
Molecule: ribosomal RNA, 301 nt
Filed under: uncultured bacterium
Lineage: Bacteria
Description: partial 16S ribosomal RNA
Rfam family: Bacterial small subunit ribosomal RNA
Source: RNAcentral